This 104-nucleotide small nuclear RNA is filed under the name Carlito syrichta (Philippine tarsier). The record is from RNAcentral. Lineage: Eukaryota; Metazoa; Chordata; Mammalia; Primates; Tarsiidae.
GUGCUCACUUCGGCAGCACAUAUACUAAAAUUGGAAUGAUACGGAGAAGAUUAGCAUGGCCCCUGCGCAAAAACACGAAACCAACCGUGCUGCCCAUCAAAAGU